GAGAGAGAGAGAGAGAGGGUUAGAGAAAGAGAGAGAGAGGGUUAGAGAAAGAGAAAGAGAGACAGAGAGGGUUAGAGAGAGAGAGAGAAAGGUAGAGUAAGAGAGGGUUAGAGAGAGAUAGAGAGAGAGAAAGAGAGAGAGAGAAUUUAAUUGGGAGAGGUAGAGUAAGAGAGAGAGGGAGAGAGAGUGAGAGGUAGAGUAAGAGAGAGAGAGAGGGUUACAGAAAGAGGGUUAGAGAGAGAGGGUAGAGAGAGAGAGAGAGAGAGAGAGAGGGGAGGGGUUAGAGAAAGAGGGUUAGAGAGAGAGGGUUAGAGAGAGAGAGGGUUAGAGAGAGAGGGUUAGAGAGAGAGAGAGAGGGGGGGUUAGAGAAAGAGGGUUAGAGAGAGAAUGAGAGAGAGAAAGAGGGUUAGAGAGAGGGUUAGAGAAAGAGAGGGAGAGAGAGGGUUAGAGAGAGAGGGUUAGAGAGAGAGAGUGGGGGGGUUAGAGAAAGAGGGUUAGAGAGAGAGAGGGUUAGAGAGAGAGGGUUAGAGAGAGAGAGAGAGAGAGAGAGGGUUAGAGAAAGAGGGUUAGAGAGAGAAUGAGAGAGAGAAAGAGGGUUAGAGAGAGGGUUAGAGAAAGAGAGGGUUAGAAGGAGAGAGGGUUAGAGAGAGAGGGUUAGAGAGAGAGGGUUAGAGAGAGGGUUAGAGAGAGGGUUAGAGAGAGAAAGAGGUAGAGUAAGAGAGGGUUAGAGCGAGCAAGAGAGAGAGGGUUAGAGAGAGAGAGAGGGUUAGAGAGAGGGUUGGAGAGAGAGAGAGAGAGGGUUAGAGAAAGAGAGAGAGAGGGUUAGAGAAAGAGAAAGAGAGACAGAGAGGGUUAGAGAGAGAGAAAGAGAGAGAGAUAAUUUAAUUGGGAGAGGUAGAGUAAGAGAGAGAGGGAGAGAGAGGUAGAGUAAGAGAGAGAGGGAGAGAGAGGUAGAGUAAGAGAGAGAGAGGGUUAGAGAGAGAGGGUUAGAGAGAGAGGGUUAGAGAGAGAGAGAGAGAGAGAGAGAGAGAGAGAGAG
This is a long non-coding RNA of Oncorhynchus tshawytscha (Chinook salmon), 1038 nucleotides long. NCBI's taxonomy places the organism in Eukaryota, Metazoa, Chordata, Actinopteri, Salmoniformes, Salmonidae. The record is from Ensembl.